UGACUUUAGAGUGAACAUUGUGAAAGUGC
This 29-nucleotide small RNA is filed under the name Bombyx mori (domestic silkworm). RNAcentral's name for it is "ovarian small RNA-32080". Lineage: Eukaryota; Metazoa; Arthropoda; Insecta; Lepidoptera; Bombycidae. The record is from RNAcentral.